Long non-coding RNA from Rhipicephalus sanguineus (brown dog tick), 349 nucleotides. RefSeq lists it as uncharacterized. The record is from RefSeq and is a predicted model, not a curated record. Lineage: Eukaryota; Metazoa; Arthropoda; Arachnida; Ixodida; Ixodidae. The transcript is spliced from 3 exons.
UGGAACGAUCGCUGGCUGCUGCCAACCUGAAAUUUGCUGUUCGUUCAUCACGCAGAAAGGCGGGUAAAGUUGUGUUCAGCACAGUAAACGGCGGUGUUCCAAUUCAUUUGGACCUUGUGCCCUUCCGAGUGCUUGGGGAUGCAACAAAACAGUGCAUCUUCGGAGAAGAGUACUACAAAAAGUCUGAUGCACAGCACAAAAAAGACACAACUGCAGACUGGCAAGCCAUCAAAAAGAAAAGGCUGCAGCUGCAGGGAACUAAAAAGAAAGGAUGUCGAGCCGUAAUGAACUUCAAGUACAUUGAACUGUAUCCCAAAAGCAAGGUAGGUUAUAAAUGUGCUGACUUUUU